CGGAUAGAGGCGCAGAUCUCAUCAGUAAGUUCCGCAUAUUAUGCCGCUCGUACGGCGCGGAACGAAAGGGAAAUCUGCCGAAACGGUACGGCUUUCGAGGGUCGUAAUUCGUUGGGCGUCGGGAUAAUAUCCCGCCGACUGUCGUUUGUUUGCAAACGGAGGGCUAUCGUG
RNAcentral lists this non-coding RNA (171 nucleotides) under human gut metagenome. Its description in RNAcentral is "Lysine riboswitch". It matches the Rfam family "Lysine riboswitch aptamer". From Rfam's summary of the family: Riboswitches are metabolite binding domains within certain messenger RNAs that serve as precision sensors for their corresponding targets. The record is from RNAcentral.